RNAcentral lists this ribosomal RNA (463 nucleotides) under uncultured bacterium. RNAcentral's name for it is "partial 16S ribosomal RNA". It matches the Rfam family "Bacterial small subunit ribosomal RNA", at positions 28 to 507 of the family's 1533-position model. The record is from RNAcentral.
GACGAACGCUGGCGGCGUGCUUAACACAUGCAAGUCGAGCGGUAAGGCCCUUCGGGGUACCCGAGCGGCGAACGGGUGAGUAACACGUGAGUAAUCUGCCCAUCACUUCGGGAUAACUCCGGGAAACCGGUGCUAAUACCGAAUAUGACCACUUCAGCCAUCUGAUGGUGGUGGAAAGUUCCGGCGGUGAUGGAUGAGCUCGCGGCCUAUCAGCUUGUUGGUGGGGUAGUGGCCUACCAAGGCUUCGACGGGUAGCCGGCCUGAGAGGGUGACCGGCCACACUGGGACUGAGACACGGCCCAGACUCCUACGGGAGGCAGCAGUGGGGAAUAUUGGACAAUGGGCGAAAGCCUGAUCCAGCAACGCCGCGUGAGGGAUGACGGCCUUCGGGUUGUAAACCUCUUUCAGCAGGGACGAAGCGCAAGUGACGGUACCUGCAGAAGAAGCACCGGCCAACUACGUG